Molecule: ribosomal RNA, 397 nt
Filed under: uncultured bacterium
Lineage: Bacteria
Description: bacterial SSU rRNA
Rfam family: Bacterial small subunit ribosomal RNA
Source: RNAcentral
GAAUAUUGCGCAAUGGGGGCAACCCUGACGCAGCAACGCCGCGUGCGGGACGAAGGCCUUCGGGUUGUAAACCGCUUUCAGCAGGGAAGACAUCGACGGUACCUGCAGAAGAAGCCCCGGCUACCUACGUGCCAGCAGCCGCGGUAACACGGAGGGGGCGAGCGUUAUCCGGAUUCAUUGGGCGUAAAGCGCGCGCAGGCGGCGCGCCAAGCGGGACCUCUAAUCUGGGGGCUCAACCCCCAGCCGGGUCCCGAACUGGCGCGCUCGUGUCCGGUAGGGGAGGUCGGAAUUCCCGGUGUAGCGGUGGAAUGCGCAGAUAUCGGGAGGAACACCGAUGGCGAAGGCAGACCUCUGGGCCGCGACAGACGCUGAGGCGCGAAAGCUAGGGGAGCGAACA